UGGGGAAUUUUGGACAAUGGGCGAAAGCCUGAUCCAGCAAUGCCGCGUGUGUGAAGAAGGCCUUCGGGUUGUAAAGCACUUUUGUCCGGAAAGAAAUCCUUGGCUCUAAUACAGUCGGGGGUGACGGUACCGGAAGAAUAAGCACCGGCUAACUACGUGCCAGCAGCCGCGGUAAUACGUAGGGUGCAAGCGUUAAUCGGAAUUACUGGGCGUAAAGCGUGCGCAGGCGGUUUGCUAAGACCGAUGUGAAAUCCCCGGGCUCAACCUGGGAACUGCAUUGGUGACUGGCAGGCUAGAGUAUGGCAGAGGGGGGUAGAAUUCCACGUGUAGCAGUGAAAUGCGUAGAGAUGUGGAGGAAUACCGAUGGCGAAGGCAGCCCCCUGGGCCAAUACUGACGCUCAUGCACGAAAACGUGGGGAGCAAACAGGAUUAGAUACCCUGGUAGUCCACGCCCUAAAACGAUGUCAACUAGUUGUUGGGGAUUCAUUUCCUUAGUAACGUAGCUAACGCGUGAAGUUGACCGCCUGGGGAGUACGGUCGCAGGAUUAAAACUCAAAGGAAUUGACGGGGUCAUAGCUGUUUCCU
RNAcentral lists this ribosomal RNA (585 nucleotides) under uncultured bacterium. RNAcentral's name for it is "partial 16S ribosomal RNA". It matches the Rfam family "Bacterial small subunit ribosomal RNA", at positions 355 to 1375 of the family's 1533-position model. The record is from RNAcentral.